UAGGGAAUAUUGGACAAUGGGUGAGAGCCUGAUCCAGCCAUGCCGCGUGCAGGAAGAAGGCGUUAUGCGUUGUAAACUGCUUUUUGUCAGGGGAUAAAAUGACCGUGCGCGGUUAAUUGAAGGUACCUGGUGAAUAAGCCACGGCUAACUACGUGCCAGCAGCCGCGGUAAUACGUAGGUGGCAAGCGUUGUCCGGAUUUAUUGGGUUUAAAGGGUGCGUAGGUGGCCCUGUAAGUCAGUGGUGAAAUAUCUCAGCUUAACUGAGAGGGUGCCAUUGAUACUGCAGGGCUUGAGUACAGAUGAGGUAGGCGGAAUUGACGGUGUAGCGGUGAAAUGCAUAGAUAUCGUCAAGAACACCGAUAGCGAAGGCAGCUUACCAAGCUGUAACUGACACUGAGGCACGAAAGUGUGGGGAUCAAACAGGAUUAGAUACCCCCGUAGUCCCUGAGCGGGCUGGCAAGGCGCAU
This 467-nucleotide ribosomal RNA is filed under the name uncultured bacterium. Its description in RNAcentral is "bacterial SSU rRNA". It matches the Rfam family "Bacterial small subunit ribosomal RNA", at positions 355 to 825 of the family's 1533-position model. The record is from RNAcentral.